This 460-nucleotide ribosomal RNA is filed under the name uncultured bacterium. Its description in RNAcentral is "partial 16S ribosomal RNA". It matches the Rfam family "Bacterial small subunit ribosomal RNA", at positions 338 to 795 of the family's 1533-position model. The record is from RNAcentral.
CCUACGGGAGGCAGCAGUGAGGAAUAUUGGUCAAUGGACGAGAGUCUGAACCAGCCAAGUAGCGUGAAGGAUGACUGCCCUAUGGGUUGUAAACUUCUUUUAUAUGGGAAUAAAACGUUCCACGUGUGGGAUUUUGUAUGUACCAUAUGAAUAAGGAUCGGCUAACUCCGUGCCAGCAGCCGCGGUAAUACGGAGGAUCCGAGCGUUAUCCGGAUUUAUUGGGUUUAAAGGGUGCGUAGGCGGAUUGUUAAGUCAGUUGUGAAAGUUUGCGGCUUAACCGUAAAAUUGCUGUUGAAACUGGCAGUCUUGAGUACAGUAGAGGUGGGCGGAAUGCGUGGUGUAGCGGUGAAAUGCUUAGAUAUCACGAAGAACUCCGAUUGCGAAGGCAGUUCACUGGACUGCAACUGACACUGAGGCUCGAAAGUGUGGGUAUCAAACAGGAUUAGAUACCCCAGUAGUC